RNAcentral lists this ribosomal RNA (3135 nucleotides) under Plasmodium reichenowi. It matches the Rfam family "Eukaryotic large subunit ribosomal RNA", at positions 19 to 2116 of the family's 3401-position model. The record is from RNAcentral. Lineage: Eukaryota; Apicomplexa; Aconoidasida; Haemosporida; Plasmodiidae.
GCAAAUCCGCCGAACUUAAGCAUAUUAUUAAGCGGAAGAAAAGAAAAUAACAAUGAUUCUUUUAGUAACGGCGAGUGAACAAAGAAAAGCUCAACAUGGAAAAUCCGACAGAUAGCUACCCGCGAUUUGUCGGAAUUGUCAAGUUGAAAAACAUUCCAAGAGUUCUUUUUUAUAAUAUGACAAUGAGAAGAAGUAGAUAGAAAUGUCUCUCCAUAGAGGGUGAAAGACCCGUAUUCUUAAUCAUAAAACUGAUCAAUUGGAAUGUUUUGUUUUUGAGUCGUGUUCUUUGAGACUGGAACACUAAUUGGUGUGAUACAUUUCACAUAAAGCUAAAUAUUUGUAAGAAACCGAUAGUAAACAAGUACCGUGAGGGAAAGAUGAAAUAGUACUCAGGAAUGAGCAAUUAAAUAGUACCUGAAAUCGUUAAGAUGGAACGGAUUAAAAAAGGAAAAAAGUAACAACAUAGUUAAAAUGAGAGAUUUUGGUGCGCGCAAUAAAGAAUGGAGUCCUGAAAAGGAUGUAGAUAUUCAAGUAUCAAAACAAAAUUUUUCUUUUUCUAAAAAGAAAUUUUUUGAAGCUUUUGUUAUAAAAAUUCAUUUUUUUUCUUAUCCUUUUUUUAGGUAAGAUAAAAAUGAUACAAAAGUUGUCUUUCAUACUAUAUAUAUAAUAUAUGUUCUUAUUAAAAGAAACAUGAGUGAAUGAAAAUAAAUAAUCGUGAAGCAAAAAUAAACACAAUAACAAGAAAAAUAAAAUAAAAUAAAAUAAUUAAAAUAAAAAUAAAACAAAAACAAAACAACAAAUAUAAAUUAAAAGAAUUAAUUGAAUUUAAUUUCAUUUUAUUUUUUCCUUUUAUAUUUUGUUUUGUUUUGCUUUAUUUUUAUUUUAAUUAUUUUUUUUUUUUUUUUUUUUUUUACCUUAUUGACUAUUUUUCUAAGCUAAUGUGGGAAAAUAUAACUUGCUUCUUUUUUUUUUUUUUCUUUUCUGAAGGGAGAAAAAAAAGAAAAAUAUGAAAGAUACAUUUAUUUAAUUUACUGAGGAUUGUGAAAAUUAUAUUAAUUGUAUAUGAUGCGAAUAAUAUAAUUUAAGAUGUUUUUAUAAAGUACUUUUUUAACCCACUCGUCUUGAAACACGGACCAAGGAGUCUAACAAAUGUGCAAGUGUAUAUGAUAAGAAUAAACAUAGUAUAAAAAUUUCUACGCAUAAUUAAUGUAACAAAAAAUAUAUGUUUAUUAAUUGUAGAUUUGUGGGGUUUUAAAUUUUUUUUAUAAAUCCACACAAUGCAUACAAUACCGGUGAGCAAUUAUGCUUUAUUGAGUAAGAGCAUACUUGUUAGGACCCGAGAGGCUUUGAACUAAACGUGAUGAGAUUGAAGUCAGAGUAAAAUCUGAUGGAGGAUCGAGUUGAUACUGACGUGCAAAUCGUUCAUUUCAAUUGCGUUUAGGGGCGAAAGACUAAUCGAAAAGCCUAUUAGCUGGUUAUUUUCGAAAGAUCUCUUAGGAUCGCUGGAGUUGAUUAUAAUAUAGUUUUACCUGGUAGAAAUAAUGAUUAGAGGAUUCAGGGAGAUGACAAUUCCUUGACCUAUAUAUCGAAAGAUUCAAUAGGUAAAAAAAUGAGGAAAUAACUUUAUUGUAUUUCAUUCAUAUUUAAAAAUAAGAUAACUCCAAGUUGGCCAAUUUUGGUAAGCAGAACUGGCGAUGAGGGAUGCUCCUAACGCUUGGAUAAGGUGCCUAAAUAUCCGCUCAUUAGAUACCAUUAAAAAGGUGUUGGUUUGUGAUUACAGUAGGACGGUAUUCAUAGAAGUUGAAAUCCGCUAGGAAGUGUGUAACAACUUACCUACCUAAUAAACUCGCCCUGAAAAUGGAUGGCGCUAAAGCGGAUUACCGAUACCAAGCCAUAAAAAAGAAAAAAAUAAAAAAGAAAUAUUGAAUUUUUUUUUUUUUUUUUUUAGAUUCUUUUUAUGAGUAGAAAAUCGUGGGGUUUGUGUUGAAGCGAAAUACGUGAGUUUUCGUGGAACAUUUCCCUAGUGCAGAUCUUGGUGGAAGUAGCAAAUAUUCUUAUGAGAACUUUGAAGACUGAAGUGGAGAAGGGUUUUUUGUGAACUAUGUUUGAGCAAAAGUUAGCCGUUCCUAAGAGAUAGCUGAAAAGCGUUAUAAAUUGAGGUUGAUCUAUUAUAUGAAAAGUAUAGUAGUGUUUUUUCUCUUCUCGAAAGGGAAGCAGGUUGAUAUUCCUGCGCCAUAUGUAAUAAGAACUAAUAAAUAGAGAUGGUAACAUAUAUAUAUAUAUAUAAAUGAACUCCUUAACAUAGGCCUUACGCUUGGAGUGCGUUAUCUUUGCACUUUAACUUUAUAUCAAACCUUCGAAAUCGAUUUACUUGUAGAAAAGGUUCGAUGAAUUUUACAAUAAACAAUUUAUUUAUUUAUAUGCGUGUGUGGACCGGUACACAUGAUAUAUAUAUUAAUAAAUUGUUUUGUAGUAAUAGUAAUUCGUUUGUUGUACGAAUUAUCCAAAGUUGUAUGGACUAUCCUUGAAAAAAGGAGGGAACACUAAAUUAGAAUGGGAAUGUAUAAAAUACUAUAAAAGAAUGAAAGAAGAAAAAGAGAAGAAAGGAAAGAAAAAAAAAUAUUAACCUUCAGCUUUUUUUUCUAUUUUUUUUUUUCUUUUUCUUCUUUCAUACAUUUAAUAGUGUUUUACAUUAACCAUUUUUUUUUUUAUAUUCUUAAUUUACAAUUAUAAAAUGAACGUACCAAUAACCGCAUCAGGUCUCCAAGGUUAGCAGCCUCUGGUUAAAUAGAAAAACGUAGGUAAGGGAAGUAAGCAAAUUAGAUCCGUAACUUCGGGAAAAGGAUUGGCUCUGAUAACAUAAAAUGAGAAGAAAAAAAAAAAUGAAAAGAAUUGUUGUUGGAAAUAAAAAUGUUAAGAUGUUUUUUUUAUAUAUUUAUAUAUUUAUAUUAGUUUUUCUUAUAUUUUAAGAUUAAUUAAUUUUAAUUAUAUAUUUAAUAUGUUAAAAUGUUUUAGAUUUCUUCUUCUACUCUCUUUUCUUAUUCUAUUUUUUUCUCUUUCUCUUCGAUAUUACAUUUAUUUUGUUAUUAUAAUAAAAAUUAUGUAAUAUUGUGUAGCUGUGUUUAUUCAGAACUG